Long non-coding RNA from Ailuropoda melanoleuca (giant panda), 2925 nucleotides. RefSeq lists it as uncharacterized. Lineage: Eukaryota; Metazoa; Chordata; Mammalia; Carnivora; Ursidae. The record is from RefSeq and is a predicted model, not a curated record. The transcript has 3 exons.
CCUUAAGGCAGCGGCUGAGACAAUGGUUUCUGCUCCUGGCCGUGUCGUUUGUUCAGUGAGAAAACCGAGCUCUUGGGAGAAGAGCGUUGCACGUAUUCACUCGGCGAGAAACUCUCCCGAGACCAGCGCGCUCGCACGCGACUCAGCAGAGGGACGGCCCCGGGGGCGGGGGUUUUCUCCGCCUGGGGAGCGCCCGAGGCCGGUCUUGCAGAAGUACCCCCGUUUCGCUGAUGGGGAAAACGAAACCCAGAGAGAGACAGGGUGAGGUUCCCAGCGUUAGCAAACACCAUGCAGGACGCCCAGUCAGAGCUGAAUUUCAGAUCUCUCCGGCAGGCCUAGGCCAAGAUCACCCAGCUGAGUGGAGGAGCAGAAACAGCUACAGAGGCACCUGUGCCUUCCCUGCUAAGGCUCACCCGUGAGUCGACCUCACUCUGCUGAGGUGGCCUGCAGGGCCCCCAGGGCGUGCCAGUCAGUGGUCGGCCCUCCGCGGGAUCCACGCUGCUUUUUCGGGAGCUGAGCCGAAGGGGCCAGAUGCCCACCCGCCUCCCCUCGCCCUCCAAGACUAGUUUAUUCAAAAGACACUACGCACCUACGCUACCAGGCGCAAACCCAGGCUCCAGCAAAUGGAACAUGAAACAUUUGAAAGGCUCCAGUGAGAAAUCAGUUCCAACUCCGUGCCAGCUGCUGUCACUUUAAAAGCCACAGAGGCAUCCCCCCAGCGAACCUGCCUCGGACAAGGCAGUGAGUUAUGCCUGGAUCUCCCUGCAGCCAGCGGUCUUAGUAGCACAUCUGCUGCCUUUGGAAGCAGAUGGCCGGUUCCAGCAGAACCUGUGUUUGCCCUCCUUUCCUCUUCUCCAGACAAGCAUGAGCGGGUCCAGAGCUGCUCGAGCAUCAAAACGGAAGACGUCUCAGAAAUAGCCUCAUGUCCGAGGGCAGAGCCCAGCACGGUAAGAUGCAGAACCUGGUGGGGGGUGGAGAACCAGCGGGCAGUGCAGUGACCCUAUCUGCUUGGUCCCCGCGUCUCUUGGGGUCCUGACCUUUCAGCCUGCUUAUUGUCAAAGUAACACAAACUAGGCCCAGCCUGGAAGAGGCAUCUCUGCUUUUAAUAAGCUCCCAGUUCACUCAGAACACGUUGCCUCCUGAGGUGACCUCGGAGCCACAUGCAGGACCCAGGACUGGCUGAGACGCUGAAACUGGCUGACCAGGUAGGAUAUUGUGACUUACAAUAACAGACGUGUGUUUUGUUUUCAUCCCCAUUCCUGGCACAGAGAUCCUAAAAUUUCCUAAGUGAUGAGAGUGACAAAGGUGUCUUUUGUUAUAGGCUGCCCUCAAACUCUGGGGAGGGGAGGUGGCUGGAGAUUGAGUUUCAAUCGCCGAUGCCGAUGAUUUAAUCAGUCCUGCCUAGGUAAUGAAGCCUCCAUAAAAGCCCCACAGGACAGGGUUUGGGGAGCCGCCAGGCUGGUGAACACAUGGGAGUGCUGGGAGACUGAUGCUUAGAGAGGGCACGGGAGCUCUGCACCCUUUCUCCAGAGCCUGCCCCAUGCAGCUCUUUCUCUGGCUAGUCCUGAGUUACAUCCUUUCAUAAUAAACCAGCAAUAUAGUAAGUAAAGCGUUGCCCUGAGUUCCGUGAGCCACUCUAGCGAGUUAAUUGAACCCAAGGAAGGGGGUUAUUGGAACCUCCUUUCUAUAGCCAGUUGGUGCAAACACAGGUCACAGCCUGGACUUGGUGAUCAGUGUCUGAAGUGGGGGGAGAGUGGGGCGGUCUUGUAGGACUGAGCCCUUAACCCAUGGGAUCUGAAGCUAUCUCUGGGUAGAUAGUGGCAGAAUCGAGUUGAAUUGCGGGACACACAGCUGGUGUUGGAGAAUGGCUUGGCAGUGUGGAAAAAAACCCCACGUACCAGGCUUACCCAGAGAGGAGCUCAAGUGAAGGUAUAAAAACAGUCAUAAUGUUAUGUCCAGAACAGGUCAAUAAUCCACAGGGAUGGGCAGUAGAUUAGUGACUGCCAGUGGCUGGGGAGGGGGGAAAUGGGGCGUGAAUGCUAACGGGCACAGGGUUUCUCUUCGAGGUAGUGAACAUGUUCUGGGAUUGGGCAGUAGUGAUGGUUGUGCAGACUCUGUGUAUGUACUAAAAACCACUGAAUUCUGUACUUGGAAAGGGUGGGUUUUAAGGCAUGUGAAUUUUACAUUUCAAUUUUUUGUAAUUGCAGAAGAAAAAUCUUUCAGGUCCCCUGUAGCAGCUGGGGGAGCUCUAAAGUCUGAUCUCCUUUGCUAAGCAGCUCACACACCCCCAGGCGCAUCGCCUGGGACCCUAGCAGUGACAAGGAACUUCCAGUUGAGGACGCAUCAGUAUCAGGCCCUUGGCACCGUAUGUGGCAGUGCUGUGUGGCCAGCCUGGCCCUGGCAGUUAUUGCCUGAAUGAGCAAAACCAACCGCCCAUAUCUGCAUCGCUCUUACUGCCUUGCAGACCUGCAAGGACAGUAAGGGUUCAGGGUCUCUCCAGAACGUCUCUAAUGCCCAUCUCUUUGCUCUUUAUCUUUGGUAAGAAUUUCCAAAGCUGUGUCAGGUACUCAGUCACCCCCAUGUUGGGCCAGGCCUUAGGCUGGGUGUUGGGUUCACACAGAGGCCCCUCACCAGUCGGGAGCUGCAGCUCCAAGGCUGAAGGAUGGCAACUCUGACUCCCGCCUCAUCCCUAACAGCUCGCUCUUUCUCAUGACACCGGCUUGGCGGCCUGUGCAGAGGACAGAGAUGAGUCAGAGAAGCCGGGUGCCAGUAGGAGAUUCCCACAGUGCAGCUGGGUCAGGACUGAAGCAGAAGCCAUGGGGUCAUCAGUGCAGGGUGGGAGAGUCUCAGCCCUGGCCUAGUCCGGGCUGCUUUGUGAAUUGAACUGCUAGAUUCCACUGGAGUAUUAAAAAAAAAACACCUAAA